GGACAUGGGUGUGCUUGGCAGUGGCCUGCCUGCCGCCAAGAAGCCACUCUCUCCAGGGCAUUUCUUCCUGGGAAGGGAAUCAACACAACCUGAGGACCCACAGCACCCAAGAGCAUCCUGCUUCCACACAACAAGUGGGGAAAAUGCUGUUUGGAGACCAGCUCGGAUGGAAAUCAGCCAAUUGAACUCAAAAAGCGAUGGAGGGAACUAAAAGUGAGACAGCUCUCUCCAGGAGGCAGGAGAGAAAAAGAGGGUCGAUGGUCUCCAGGGCGGGGACGGUGGCCAGGGGCUCCGGGAAGCG
Molecule: long non-coding RNA, 301 nt
Organism: Vidua chalybeata
Lineage: Eukaryota; Metazoa; Chordata; Aves; Passeriformes; Viduidae
Exons: 3
Source: RefSeq, a predicted model, not a curated record